UUUCCGACCUGAACUCAGACGUGACU
Molecule: ribosomal RNA, 26 nt
Filed under: Neobakernema variabile
Lineage: Eukaryota; Metazoa; Nematoda; Chromadorea; Rhabditida; Criconematidae
Description: partial 28S ribosomal RNA
Source: RNAcentral